UCGAGAAUUUUUCACAAUGGGCGAAAGCCUGAUGGAGCGACGCCGCGUGGGGGAUGAAUGGCUUCGGCCCGUAAACCCCUGUCAUUUGCGAACAAAUCCUGCGAACGAACACUUCGUUGGUUGAUUGUAGCAGAAGAGGAAGGGACGGCUAACUCUGUGCCAGCAGCCGCGGUAAUACAGAGGUCCCGAGCGUUGUUCGGAUUCACUGGGCGUAAAGGGUGCGUAGGCGGAUGGUUAAGUCUGCUGUGAAAGCUCCGAGCUUAACUCGGAAAAUGCAGUGGAAACUAAUCGUCUAGAGGUGUGGAGGGGGGACUGGAAUUCUCGGUGUAGCAGUGAAAUGCGUAGAGAUCGAGAGGAACACCAGUGGCGAAGGCGAGUCCCUGGACACCACCUGACGCUGAGGCACGAAAGCUAGGGGAGCAAACA
This 426-nucleotide ribosomal RNA is filed under the name uncultured bacterium. RNAcentral describes it as "bacterial SSU rRNA". It matches the Rfam family "Bacterial small subunit ribosomal RNA", at positions 355 to 774 of the family's 1533-position model. The record is from RNAcentral.